Molecule: non-coding RNA, 319 nt
Organism: Pelobates cultripes (western spadefoot toad)
Lineage: Eukaryota; Metazoa; Chordata; Amphibia; Anura; Pelobatidae
Source: the annotation of a GenBank genome assembly
CUGGAGUCCAAUCAAUGAGAUGAGAUUGGAGGUGUUGGUUACAGCUGCCCUAUAAAAAACACACACCAGUUCUGGGUUUGCUUUUCACAAGAAGCAUUACCUGAUGUGAAUGAUGCCUCGCACAAAAGAGCUCUCAGAAGACCUACGAUUAAGAAUUGUUGACUUGCAUAAAGCUGGAAAGGGUUAUAGAAGUAUCUCCAAAAGCCUUGCUGUUCAUCAGUCCACUGUAAGACAAAUUGUCUAUGAAUGGAGAAAGUUCAGCACUGCUGCUACUCUCCCUAGGAGUAGCCGUCCUGUAAAGAUGACUGCAAGAGCACAG